GCAGUUGUGGCCUAAUGGUUAGAGUGUCGGACUUGUAAGGUGAACUCGAAGGUCGUGGGUUUGAGUCUCAGGUCCGGCA
Non-coding RNA from Pangasius djambal, 79 nucleotides. NCBI's taxonomy places the organism in Eukaryota, Metazoa, Chordata, Actinopteri, Siluriformes, Pangasiidae. The record is from the annotation of a GenBank genome assembly.